RNAcentral lists this transfer RNA (74 nucleotides) under Caudoviricetes sp. RNAcentral describes it as "tRNA-Ile". It matches the Rfam family "tRNA". Rfam says of the family: Transfer RNA (tRNA) molecules are approximately 80 nucleotides in length. Their secondary structure includes four short double-helical elements and three loops (D, anti-codon, and T loops). Further hydrogen bonds mediate the characteristic L-shaped molecular structure. tRNAs have two regions of fundamental functional importance: the anti-codon, which is responsible for specific mRNA codon recognition, and the 3' end, to which the tRNAs corresponding amino acid is attached (by aminoacyl-tRNA synthetases). tRNAs cope with the degeneracy of the genetic code in two manners: having more than one tRNA (with a specific anti-codon) for a particular amino acid; and 'wobble' base-pairing, i.e. permitting non-standard base-pairing at the 3rd anti-codon position. The record is from RNAcentral. Lineage: Duplodnaviria; Heunggongvirae; Uroviricota; Caudoviricetes.
GCGAAGCUAACUCAGUCGGUUAGAGCGGCGGCCUUAUAAGCCGCUGGUGAUGGGUUCGAGUCCCAUGCUUCGCA